GGAGGGAUCGCAUAGUGGCCUAGUGCGUUCGCUUGGAGAGCGAAUACGCCCGCAAGGGCGUCCAGGGUUCAAAUCCCUGUCCCUCCGCCA
RNAcentral lists this transfer RNA (90 nucleotides) under Candidatus Peregrinibacteria bacterium. Its description in RNAcentral is "tRNA-Ser". It matches the Rfam family "tRNA". Rfam says of the family: Transfer RNA (tRNA) molecules are approximately 80 nucleotides in length. Their secondary structure includes four short double-helical elements and three loops (D, anti-codon, and T loops). The record is from RNAcentral. Lineage: Bacteria; Candidatus Peregrinibacteriota.